RNAcentral lists this long non-coding RNA (206 nucleotides) under Elaeis guineensis (African oil palm). RNAcentral describes it as "long non-coding RNA (EGUI_LNC042208)". Lineage: Eukaryota; Viridiplantae; Streptophyta; Magnoliopsida; Arecales; Arecaceae. The record is from RNAcentral.
UCACCCAUUCAUAAUGACAUUUCAAUUUCUGAUGGUAUUCUAUUUCAACAGGCUAGUCAAAAGUUGGUUGGUCAAAGCAAACAGGUUGCAUCGGCCAAUACUCAAGCUUACUCAUCAUGGUAAAGGAAAGAAGAAUGGGAGGCAUGAGGAUGGAUAGUGUUGGGUAUAAAAUACCCCCCAACCGAAGUUCGUGACAGGAGUGACCC